CUGGGAGGACCAUCUCCUAAGGCUAAAUACUCUCUAGUGACCGAUAGUGAACCAGUACCGUGAGGGAAAGGUGAAAAGCACCCCGGAAGGGGAGUGAAAUAGAACCUGAAACCGUGUGCUUACAAGUAGUCAGAGCCCGUUAAUGGGUGAUGGCGUGCCUUUUGUAGAAUGAACCGGCGAGUUACGAUUUGAUGCAAGGUUAAGCAGUAAAUGUGGAGCCGUAGCGAAAGCGAGUCUGAAUAGGGCGUUUAGUAUUUGGUCGUAGACCCGAAACCAGGUGAUCUACCCUUGGUCAGGUUGAAGUUCAGGUAACACUGAAUGGAGGACCGAACCGACUUACGUUGAAAAGUGAGCGGAUGAACUGAGGGUAGCGGAGAAAUUCCAAUCGAACCUGGAGAUAGCUGGUUCUCUCCGAAAUAGCUUUAGGGCUAGCCUCAAGUGAUGAUUAUUGGAGGUAGAGCACUGUUUGGACGAGGGGCCCCUCUCGGGUUACCGAAUUCAGACAAACUCCGAAUGCCAAUUAAUUUAA
RNAcentral lists this ribosomal RNA (529 nucleotides) under Staphylococcus aureus. RNAcentral's name for it is "partial 23S ribosomal RNA". It matches the Rfam family "Bacterial large subunit ribosomal RNA", at positions 444 to 975 of the family's 2925-position model. Lineage: Bacteria; Bacillati; Bacillota; Bacilli; Caryophanales; Staphylococcaceae. The record is from RNAcentral.